Molecule: ribosomal RNA, 458 nt
Filed under: uncultured bacterium
Lineage: Bacteria
Description: partial 16S ribosomal RNA
Rfam family: Bacterial small subunit ribosomal RNA
Source: RNAcentral
CCUACGGGAGGCAGCAGUGAGGAAUAUUGGUCAAUGGGCGAGAGCCUGAACCAGCCAAGUCGCGUGCGGGAGUACUGCCCUAUGGGUUGUAAACCUCUUUUGUCGGGGGGCAAAAGUCGGACGUGUCCGGCUGUGAGAGUACCCGAAGAAAAAGCAUCGGCUAACUCCGUGCCAGCAGCCGCGGUAAUACGGGGGGUGCGAGCGUUAUCCGGAUUUUUUGGGUUUAAAGGGUGCGCAGGCGGAUUUUUAAGUCAGCGGUAAAAGCGUGGGGUUCAACCCCGUCCAGCCGCUGAAACUGUGGAUCUAGAGAGUGCGAGAGGUAUGCGGAAUGUGUGGUGUAGCGGUGAAAUGCAUAGAUAUCACGCAGAACCCCGAUUGCGAAGGCAGCAUACCGGUGCACAACUGACGCUCAGGCACGAAAGCGUGGGUAUCGAACAGGAUUAGAUACCCGGGUAGUC